This 441-nucleotide ribosomal RNA is filed under the name uncultured bacterium. Its description in RNAcentral is "partial 16S ribosomal RNA". It matches the Rfam family "Bacterial small subunit ribosomal RNA", at positions 338 to 795 of the family's 1533-position model. The record is from RNAcentral.
CCUACGGGUGGCAGCAGUGGGGAAUAUUGCACAAUGGGGGAAACCCUGAUGCAGCGACGCCGCGUGAGUGAAGAAGUAUUUCGGUAUGUAAAGCUCUAUCAGCAGGAACGAGACAAGACGGUACCUGACUAAGAAGCCCCGGCUAACUACGUGCCAGCAGCCGCGGUAAUACGUAGGGGGCAAGCGUUAUCCGGAAUCACUGGGUGUAAAGGGAGCGUAGACGGCUGAGCAAGCCUGAAGUGAAAGGCGGGGGCCCAACCCCCGGACUGCUUUGGGAACUGUACGGCUGGAGUGCAGGAGAGGUAAGCGGAAUUCCUAGUGUAGCGGUGAAAUGCGUAGAUAUUAGGAGGAACACCGGUGGCGAAGGCGGCUUACUGGACCGUAACUGACGUUGAGGCUCGAAAGCGUGGGGAGCGAACAGGAUUAGAUACCCUAGUAGUC